AGCGAACGCUGGCGGCAGGCUUAACACAUGCAAGUCGAACGGGCGUAGCAAUACGUCAGUGGCAGACGGGUGAGUAACGCGUGGGAACGUACCUUUUGGUUCGGAACAACCCAGGGAAACGUUGGGCGUAAUACCGGAUAAGCCCUUACGGGGUAAGGAUUUAUCGCCGAAAGAUCGGCCCGCGUCUGAUUAGCUAGUUGGUGUGGUAACGGCGCACCAAGGCGACGAUCAGUAGCUGGUCUGAGAGGAUGAUCAGCCACAUUGGGACUGAGACACGGCCCAAACUCCUACGGGAGGCAGCAGUGGGGAAUAUUGGACAAUGGGCGCAAGCCUGAUCCAGCCAUGCCGCGUGGGUGAUGAAGGCCCUAGGGUUGUAAGCUCUUUUGUGCGGGAAGAUAAUGACGGUACCGCAAGAAUAAGCCCCGGCUAACUUCGUGCCAGC
Molecule: ribosomal RNA, 442 nt
Filed under: uncultured bacterium
Lineage: Bacteria
Description: bacterial SSU rRNA
Rfam family: Bacterial small subunit ribosomal RNA
Source: RNAcentral